This 396-nucleotide ribosomal RNA is filed under the name uncultured bacterium. RNAcentral describes it as "partial 16S ribosomal RNA". It matches the Rfam family "Bacterial small subunit ribosomal RNA", at positions 523 to 918 of the family's 1533-position model. The record is from RNAcentral.
AUACGAAGGGUGCAAGCGUUAAUCGGAAUUACUGGGCGUAAAGCGCGCGUAGGUGGUUUUGUAAGUUGGAGGUGAAAGCCCCGGGCUCAACCUGGGAAUUGCCUCCAAAACUGCAUGACUAGAGUACGGUAGAGGGUAGUGGAAUUUCCUGUGUAGCGGUGAAAUGCGUAGAUAUAGGAAGGAACACCAGUGGCGAAGGCGACUACCUGGACUGAUACUGACACUGAGGUGCGAAAGCGGGGGGAGCAAACAGGAUAAGAUACCCUGGUAGCCCACGCCGUAAACGAUGUCAACUAGCCGUUGGGAUCCUUGAGAUCUUAGUGGCGCAGCUAACGCAUUAAGUUGACCGCCUGGGGAGUACGGCCGCAAGGUUAAAACUCAAAGGAAUUGACGGGG